GAAAUGCGAUAAGUAAUGUGAAUUGCAGAAUUCAGUGAAUCAUCGAAUCUUUGAACGCACAUUGCGCCCUCUGGUAUUCCGGGGGGCAUGCCUGUUCGAGCGUCAUUACAACCCUCAAGCUCUGCUUGGUAUUGGGACGUGUCGGUUCCCGACACGCCUUAAAAUCAGUGGCGGUGCCAUGUGGCUUCAAGCGUAGUAACUCUUCUCGCUCUGGAGUCCAGGUGGCCACCUGCCAGCAACCCCCAAUUUAUCAAUGGUUGACCUCGGAUCAGGUAGGGAUACCCGCUGAACUUAA
This 295-nucleotide unclassified non-coding RNA is filed under the name uncultured Ascomycota. RNAcentral's name for it is "sequence contains ITS1". The stretch from base 1 to 105 matches the Rfam family "5.8S ribosomal RNA", at positions 50 to 154 of the family's 154-position model. Lineage: Eukaryota; Fungi; Ascomycota. The record is from RNAcentral.